Molecule: long non-coding RNA, 1173 nt
Filed under: Coffea arabica (coffee)
Lineage: Eukaryota; Viridiplantae; Streptophyta; Magnoliopsida; Gentianales; Rubiaceae
Description: long non-coding RNA (CARA_LNC006941)
Source: RNAcentral
GAGUUAUGAUCCAAAGUAUUUCCUUGAAUCUCCAUCAGAAGAAUUUGCACAUUCAUCAAUCUCUGAUGUUUUGGGAAAUCGAUUUGACUCGCCACAUCCUUCUUCCAACCAGCUCUUAGCUGGCCAACAUUCUUUUAGCAACUCUUUCAUGCCUGCAAAACAAUGUGAUACUUAUGAAUUCAGUUAUGAAUCUGAAUACUUGGGUGCUGAAGAUCCUGAUGCAACAGAUUACGAUGAGGACGAGGUGAGACUUAAACUCCAAGAACUUGAAAGAGCACUUUUCGAUGAUAACAACAUUGUUGACAAUGAUCUAUUGGAAACUGAGCAUGGAUGGGCUGACUCAACCGAGAAUGUGCUGCUUCAUGACUCACCGAAGGAGUCAUCGUCCUCAGAUUCAAAUCUUAGUAGUAUUAGCUGCAAUAAAGAAAUAUCUGUGACCACUCCUCCAGGCCCCAAGCAGAUGCUUUUUGAUUGUGCAGCUGCAAUUCAAGAUGGUAACUUUGAUGAAGCAUCCACAAUAAUCAAUGAACUGCGCCAGAGAGUCUCAAUCCAGGGAGAGCCUCCCGAAAGGAUUGCUGCGUACAUGGUAGAAGCACUUGUAGCCCGCAUGGCUACCUCUGGCAAAGGUCUUUAUAAAGCCCUGAAAUGCAAAGAGCCCCCAUCUUCAGAUCGGCUUUCUGCAAUGCAAGUCCUUUUUGAGGUAUGUCCAUGCUUCCGGUUUGGAUUUAUGACAGCAAAUGGUGCAAUUCUGGAGGCUUGUAAAGACGAAAAACGAGUUCAUAUUAUAGAUUUUGAUAUUAACCAAGGAAGUCAAUAUUAUACUCUUCUGCAAACUCUGGCUCAGCUGCCUUAUAAGCCCUCCCAUCUGAGGUUAACUGGGGUGGAUGAUCCUGAAUCAGUUCAACGUGCCGUUGGUGGCUUAAAGAUCAUAGGACAGAUGCUUGAAACCCUUGCUGAAGAUCUUAAGAUACCAUUAACAUUUCAUUCAGUCGCUGCAAAGACCGCAGAUAUUGACCCAUCAAUGUUUGACUGCAAGCCUGGGGAAGCUCUUAUUGUGAAUUUUGCUUUCCAGCUUCACCACAUGCCGGAUGAAAGUGUAUCAACUGUAAAUCAACGAGACCAGCUUCUAAGGAUGGUUAAGGGCUUAAAUCCAAAACUUGUUACUCUUGUUGA